AUACUUACCAGGCAGGGGAGAUACCAUGUACAUGAAGGUGAUUUUCCCAGGGUGAGGCGUAUCCAUUGCACUCCUGAUGUGCUAACCCCUGUGAUUUCCCCAAAUGUGGGAAACUCAACUGCAUAAGUUAUGAUAACGAGGGACGGCAUUCGUGCUCUCCCCUG
Small nuclear RNA from Molossus molossus (Pallas's mastiff bat), 164 nucleotides. RefSeq annotates it as U1 spliceosomal RNA. Lineage: Eukaryota; Metazoa; Chordata; Mammalia; Chiroptera; Molossidae. The record is from RefSeq and is a predicted model, not a curated record. The transcript has a single exon.